AUGACAAAAGGACUACGUAAGAAAGAACUUGAGAGACUUUUUGGUGGACAUUCUAGAGGCGACGCACAUGCCUCUACGUCAGAACGCAGAGAUGCUACACAUGACUCGCCGCCACAGGACACAGGCAGCGGAGAUGCUUCACAUGAUGCAGAGGCACAUGCUGAUCCUACACAGCAUGCUGAGAUACCAUCGCCGCCGCCGCUACGUGCAGAUGUAUUGGAGGAGCGGAGAUAUGAGCCAAAUAGUGCAGCUAUAGAAGCUACACCACUACCACCAGAUUCUAUUCUAGAUCAGCGAGUCCACGACCCAGCCAAGGUGAAAGGUGAUUGGGAAUCUUAUCAUGCUUUGUGACCUAUAGCGCAGCGUAGGUACAAACAAGCAAGGCGUAGAUGCAUCGAACUGAAAGGUACCGAGCGACCUCCUAAGCACGGUCGCAGUGCUACCAAGCCAUAGAACCUCAUCCCUGAUAUUCAUCUGAGGGCCGUGAUCCGAUGGGAGCACGGAGUGCCUGUCGGGGCAUUUGCUAAUGCUUUCAAUAAUUUUCUCACCGCUUUAGCCAAGAGACAUGAUUUCUUUAAUAUUUUUUUGACGUGGAAAUCACAACGAAUUGAUGCGCUGGUAGCUUGUUGGAGAUAUAUAUGUUGAUUUUUCUUCCUUGACGAUAACAUUUGUGCCUAGACUUACUGCUUCAUGCAAAUCAAUCUAUCGUUUAAGAGGUGGCGAUCUGAGGUGAAGAAAAAGUAUUUUGUUCAAAUAACAAAUGAUUGGGAGCGCUUCUGGCAUCUUGACGAGCGUGUAGAUGGAGUAGAAUUUUUUGCACUUUGUGAUUACUGGGACACGGCUGAAAUCCAGGCUCAAGCUGAAAUAGCAAGGAGGAACCGCAACGCUCCCCGUAGUUACGAGCACCACGGGGGCUCCAGGUCCUUUAGCCAGCAUUAUCAUCAAUUGGAGCAUGAGGGAAGGGGAGAUCUCGGACAUUUUGCAGAUCGUAUUUUGACUUCUUGGAGCCCGAAUUACGCCGAUGAAGAGAAGAAGGCGAAGAACAAG
Long non-coding RNA from Asparagus officinalis (garden asparagus), 1047 nucleotides. RefSeq lists it as uncharacterized. The record is from RefSeq and is a predicted model, not a curated record. NCBI's taxonomy places the organism in Eukaryota, Viridiplantae, Streptophyta, Magnoliopsida, Asparagales, Asparagaceae. The transcript is spliced from 6 exons.